GGAAGUAGCUGAGGGGUAGAGCGCAUGCUUAGCAUGCAUGAGGUCCUGGAUUCAAACUUCAGUGCCUCCA
Molecule: transfer RNA, 70 nt
Filed under: Camelus ferus (Wild Bactrian camel)
Lineage: Eukaryota; Metazoa; Chordata; Mammalia; Artiodactyla; Camelidae
Rfam family: tRNA
About the family: Transfer RNA (tRNA) molecules are approximately 80 nucleotides in length. Their secondary structure includes four short double-helical elements and three loops (D, anti-codon, and T loops).
Source: Rfam by way of RNAcentral